CCUACGGGAGGCUGCAGUGGGGAAUAUUGGACAAUGGGGGGAACCCUGAUCCAGCCAUGCCGCGUGUGUGAAGAAGGCCCUCGGGUUGUAAAGCACUUUCAGUGAGGAAGAACGCCUGGUGGUUAAUACCCAUCAGGAAAGACAUCACUCACAGAAGAAGCACCGGCUAACUCCGUGCCAGCAGCCGCGGUAAUACGGAGGGUGCGAGCGUUAAUCGGAAUUACUGGGCGUAAAGCGCGCGUAGGUGGCUUGAUAAGCCGGUUGUGAAAGCCCCGGGCUCAACCUGGGAACGGCAUCCGGAACUGUCAAGCUAGAGUGCAGGAGAGGAAGGUAGAAUUCCCGGUGUAGCGGUGAAAUGCGUAGAGAUCGGGAGGAAUACCAGUGGCGAAGGCGCCCUUCUGGACUGACACUGACACUGAGGUGCGAAAGCGUGGGUAGCAAACAGGAUUAGAUACCCGGGUAGUC
This 465-nucleotide ribosomal RNA is filed under the name Vreelandella stevensii. RNAcentral describes it as "partial 16S ribosomal RNA". It matches the Rfam family "Bacterial small subunit ribosomal RNA", at positions 338 to 795 of the family's 1533-position model. The record is from RNAcentral. Lineage: Bacteria; Pseudomonadati; Pseudomonadota; Gammaproteobacteria; Oceanospirillales; Halomonadaceae.